Long non-coding RNA from Rhopalosiphum maidis (corn leaf aphid), 542 nucleotides. RefSeq lists it as uncharacterized. The transcript is spliced from 3 exons. The record is from RefSeq and is a predicted model, not a curated record. NCBI's taxonomy places the organism in Eukaryota, Metazoa, Arthropoda, Insecta, Hemiptera, Aphididae.
UCGGUGAGAUAACAGCACAUACACAUAAUAAUUUUAUUACACAAUUUAAGGUAGACUAAAGAGAGAUGAAUCAUGGUUUAUUAUUUGAAGAAUAUUCCGCUAGCAAUAUUUGAAAAGGUAGUGCAGGGUUCUCAAACACAUGAAAAAUCAACGAAAUAAACCAAAAUCAUGUUUGACCGACAGUUAGCGCAAAACAACAUCAAUACAAAACAACUUAAGCAAUAUCAGACACCAGUUUGGUAAUUUUUUAAAUACUUAAACAAGUCCGUAGCUUCAUUUUAAAUGAUAUGAAAAUAUUGGUAUUGGCGAGGAAUAUAAUAAUAUGCAAUCAGAACGCAGUAAAUCGACCUUGGAAAAUAUGGAUGUACGGCAGUUCACUUAAAGAAUUCUGACGCAUGGAUUCACUUAUCUCACACGUGGGAAAGUAUCAACAUCCUAUAUUGCAAAUGGACUAGAAGAUGCUGAGAAUAAUACAUGUUAUAUGCAAUAUGGCACUACGGCAGAUCACACAAGGCAUGCUGAGACAUGGAUUCACAUUUCUC